RNAcentral lists this ribosomal RNA (496 nucleotides) under uncultured bacterium. RNAcentral's name for it is "partial 16S ribosomal RNA". It matches the Rfam family "Bacterial small subunit ribosomal RNA", at positions 30 to 523 of the family's 1533-position model. The record is from RNAcentral.
UUGAACGCUGGCGGCAGGCCUAACACAUGCAAGUCGAGCGCGAAAAGUUUUCGGACUGAGUAAAGCGGCGGACGGGUGAGUAACGCGUGGGAAUCUGCCCAGUAGUGGGGGACAACAGCCGGAAACGGCUGCUAAUACCGCAUACGCCCUACGGGGGAAAGGGGGGGAUCUUCGGACCUCUCGCUAUUGGAUGAGCCCGCGUCGGAUUAGCUAGUUGGUGGGGUAAAGGCCUACCAAGGCUACGAGCCGUAACUGGUCUGAGAGGAUGAUCAGUCACACUGGAACGGAGACACGGGCCAGACUCCUACGGGAGUCAGCAGUGGGGAAUAUUGGACAAUGGGGGCAACCCUGAUCCAGCCAUGCCGCGUGUGUGAAGAAGGCCUUAGGGUUGUAAAGCACUUUCAGUGGGGAGAAAGGUUUGUCACCUAAUACGUGAUGAAAUUGAUGUUACCCACAGAAGAAGCACCGGCUAACUCCGUGCCAGCCGCCGCCGUAA